Molecule: ribosomal RNA, 406 nt
Filed under: uncultured bacterium
Lineage: Bacteria
Description: partial 16S ribosomal RNA
Rfam family: Bacterial small subunit ribosomal RNA
Source: RNAcentral
AUCGAACGCUGGCGGCAGGCCUAACACAUGCAAGUCGAACGAGAGGCGGACGGGUGAGUAAUGUCUGGGAAACUGCCUGAUGGAGGGGGAUAACUACUGGAAACGGUAGCUAAUACCGCAUACCAUCAGAUGUGCCCAGAUGGGAUUAGCUAGUAGGUGGGGUAAUGGCUCAUCUAGGCGACACUCCCUAGCUGGUCUGAGAGGAUGACCAGCCACACUGGAACUGAGACACGGUCCAAACUCCUACGGGAGGCAGCAGUGGGGAAUAUUGCACAAUUGGCGCAAGCCUUAUGCAGCCAUGCCGCGGGUAUGAAGAAGGCCUUCGGGUUGUAAAGCCCUUUCAGCGAGGAAGCGUUACUCGCAGAAGAAGCCCCGGCUAACUCCGUGCCAGCAGCCGCGGUAAUUC